UUUUCUUGUGUGGAACAAAAAUAUUUUACCAUUUCAUGAAUCAGAAAAGGGUUUGUUUCUUUUCUUUCCUUCCCUGCGCCACAAAUACAGAAUACCUAAAAAUAUCUUUUUUAGUAUUCAUGUGACUAGAAUACGAGAACAGCAACACACAGCUCAGUGAUUUUAAUGAUGAUGAUGAUGAGGAUUUUAAAUUAAAAAAAAUUUUUUGUGGAAUCAUCCCUCAAAAUCAAUACGAUAAUAAUAUGAUAAUUGCUUUUACUUCUGCUGCUUACUGCAUUUUUUCCCAGCUGCUCUACUCAGGUCUUUUCUCAUGCAUUCACCUGUUUCCUGUUUCUGCUAUCGUUACAAAAAAACAGCAAGUGCCAGUGGGUCACUCAAAUCUAAAGCUGUACCUAACACUGCAGGGGGGUUUCCAUAAUUCACUGUGAUUCAUUACCUUAUACAGCAGCCAAGAAGCUAUGCAGAAUCUCCUGGUCGCCAGUGUUUACAUUGUUCAUAUUAAAAAAGAAUUUGCUGGUAGAGAAUGCCAGUUUAUUAGUGGUUUUGGGGGGUUUCAAUUAUUCAAAACUGUUUCCAGUGCAAAGAUUUGAAAGGUUAUUUAGUAAUGUUAUCUUUCUUCUGUACUGCAGUUUACUGUGUAUGUCACAUAUAUGUAGGAUAACAUAAAUGUCCUCACAGCUGAUUCUGAAUAUAGUGUUUUCAUCACUGUCUAGUGUGACAUCACCAGUGCUACCAGUUCGGUAUUAGGCAUCACUGUUUACUGUGGCCUCUGUGCUACUGUGCUGCUUCUUUCCAAAUUAUUGCCUGUGUUACUGGCAAAAUCUUCUCCUGUGACGCCUUCAAACAUGAACACACCGUCAGUUCUGUAUUUAUGAUACUAAUGCUUAGACUUAACACUUCUCACUGUGACAACAGACAUUCAAGAAACUGCUGACAGGUGGCAUUAUUCUGAUUUUGCUGCCUAAUAUCAGAAAUAUGGGGAAAUCCUUAAAAAAUGUUAAUUUGCAGGCCAUGUCCACAGUACUUUGUGAGAGUGUAAGGUUGGUUUUUGUUUUUUCCAUUGAUCUUUGUACAGAGCCUCCUGUUAGUGGUGUGGAAGAAUAGCUGUAAGAGUUUUUAUAAUUGAGUUUUUUGAUUGCAUAAUAUUCAGAUAAAAUGUCAGAUAUAUCAAUAAAAAUGUAAUGACUUUUAUGUAUGUGGACAUGGCCUUAUGUAGUGAGUUUCUCCAUUCAGUAUUUUCCUUCUUCAGUGUAAAUUUAUGAGUGGGUGUUUUUUUUCUUUUCUUUUUUUGUGGACAAAUAAAGAUAAACACAUUUGCUUCAAAAUGCUGACUUUCUCUUUAAUUUGUCAAUUUAAAAAAUAUGCUGUACCAGUAUAUCAUGUAUUAAAUGCUUCCAUAUACUGCUUUAUCCAUAUACAAAACAAACGUACUUUUAAAAUGUCAAUGCAACAAAAACCAAGAAAACAAUUACAAAAACACAGUUUAUCCUUCUUAGAUAGAUUUUAUUAGAUGGG
Astatotilapia calliptera (eastern happy) is the source of this 1515-nucleotide long non-coding RNA. The record is from Ensembl. Lineage: Eukaryota; Metazoa; Chordata; Actinopteri; Cichliformes; Cichlidae.